Molecule: ribosomal RNA, 301 nt
Filed under: uncultured bacterium
Lineage: Bacteria
Description: partial 16S ribosomal RNA
Rfam family: Bacterial small subunit ribosomal RNA
Source: RNAcentral
CAGUCGCCGCGGUAAUGCAGAGGAUGCAAGCGUUGUCCGGAAUUAUUGGGCGUAAAGGGCUCGCAGGCGGUUUCUUAAGUCUGAUGUGAAAGCCCCCGGCUCAACCGGGGAGGGUCAUUGGAAACUGGGGAACUUGAGUGCAGAAGAGGAGAGUGGAAUUCCACGUGUAGCGGUGAAAUGCGUAGAGAUGUGGAGGAACACCAGUGGCGAAGGCGACUCUCUGGUCUGUAACUGACGCUGAGGAGCGAAAGCGUGGGGAGCGAACAGGAUUAGAUACCCCAGUAGUCCCUGUCUCUUAUAC